CGCAUGAGUGAGUGUAGUGUCGUCACGGGAUAUCUAUAUCCGCAGGAGAAGUGUUUCACGCUUGGGGGCGUAGGGUCUUACGGCUCUGUGCCCCCUUAUCCUAGGAGGCAAGUGUCUUGCGUGUUGCAUUUCGGUGCUUUCGCUUGAUCGACCCUCCUAGGCGUACUGAACACCGGCGUGAAUUGCGCCAAGGAACUUGAAUGAAAGAGCGUUCCCCCGCCGUCCCGGAGACGGUGCUCGUGCGGGUGGUUUCGUCGUCUUCAAUAUGUCUAAACGACUCUCGGCAACGGAUAUCUCGGCUCUCGCAUCGAUGAAGAACGUAGCGAAAUGCGAUACUUGGUGUGAAUUGCAGAAUCCCGUGAACCAUCGAGUCUUUGAACGCAAGUUGCGCCCGAAGCCAUUAGGCCGAGGGCACGUCUGCCUGGGCGUCACACGUCGUUGCCCCCCCCAACCCCCUCGGGAGUUGGAUGGGACGGAUGAGGGCUUCCCGUGUGUUCAGUCACGCGGUUGCCAUAAAUACCAAGUCCUCGGCGACCAACGCCACGACAAUCGGUGGUUGUCAAACCUCGGUUUCCUGUCGUGCGCGUCUCAGAUCGAGCAAUUCGUGGACAAUGUGAGUCAAACUGUCGAGCAACACAUCCCUCCCCGCGGCGCGG
Molecule: ribosomal RNA, 656 nt
Filed under: Rosa weisiensis
Lineage: Eukaryota; Viridiplantae; Streptophyta; Magnoliopsida; Rosales; Rosaceae
Description: eukaryotic LSU rRNA
Rfam family: 5.8S ribosomal RNA (bases 276-431)
Source: RNAcentral